GCCUGCGGCCAUGCCUCCUUUCAGCUACGUGCUCUUUGAACCUCACAAAUUCAGCAUGGGCAGGCCUGGUUGGUACUUGGAUGAGAAACCUCAAAGGAAAAUAGCCAGAUGUUGCAGGUC
This 120-nucleotide ribosomal RNA is filed under the name Chelonoidis abingdonii (Abingdon island giant tortoise). The record is from RNAcentral. Lineage: Eukaryota; Metazoa; Chordata; Testudines; Testudinidae.